ACGCUGGCGGCGUGCCUAAUACAUGCAAGUUGAGCGCUGAAGGUUGGUACUUGUACCGACUGGAUGAGCAGCGAACGGGUGAGUAACGCGUGGGGAAUCUGCCUUUGAGCGGGGGACAACAUUUGGAAACGAAUGCUAAUACCGCAUAAAAACUUUAAACACAAGUUUUAAGUUUGAAAGAUGCAAUUGCAUCACUCAAAGAUGAUCCCGCGUUGUAUUAGCUAGUUGGUGAGGUAAAGGCUCACCAAGGCGAUGAUACAUAGCCGACCUGAGAGGGUGAUCGGCCACAUUGGGACUGAGACACGGCCCAAACUCCUACGGGAGGCAGCAGUAGGGAAUCUUCGGCAAUGGACGAAAGUCUGACCGAGCAACGCCGCGUGAGUGAAGAAGGUUUUCGGAUCGUAAAACCCUGUUGGUAGAGAAGAACGUUGGUGAGAGUGGAAAGCUCAUCAAGUGACGGUAACUACCCAGAAAGGGACGGCUAACUACGUGCCAGCAGCCGCGGUAAUACGUAGGUCCCGAGCGUUGCCCGGAUUUAUUGGGCGUAAAGCGAGCGCAGGUGGUUUAUUAAGUCUGGUGUAAAAGGCAGUGGCUCAACCAUUGUAUGCAUUGGAAACUGGUAGACUUGAGUGCAGGAGAGGAGAGUGGAAUUCCAUGUGUAGCGGUGAAAUGCGUAGAUAUAUGGAGGAACACCGGUGGCGAAAGCGGCUCUCUGGCCUGUAACUGACACUGAGGCUCGAAAGCGUGGGGAGCAAACAGGAUUAGAUACCCUGGUAGUCC
Molecule: ribosomal RNA, 780 nt
Filed under: uncultured bacterium
Lineage: Bacteria
Description: bacterial SSU rRNA
Rfam family: Bacterial small subunit ribosomal RNA
Source: RNAcentral